RNAcentral lists this ribosomal RNA (801 nucleotides) under uncultured bacterium. RNAcentral's name for it is "bacterial SSU rRNA". It matches the Rfam family "Bacterial small subunit ribosomal RNA", at positions 8 to 796 of the family's 1533-position model. The record is from RNAcentral.
AGAGUUUGAUCAUGGCUCAGGACGAACGCUGGCGGCGUGCUUAACACAUGCAAGUGGAGCGACGAACCGGGCUUCGGCCCGGGGCAGAGCCGCGAACGGGUGAGUAACACGUGGGUAACCUACCCCGAUGACCGGGACAACCCGAGGAAACUCGGGCUAAUACCGGAUGUUCUCGGUCUCCGUAAGGAGAUCGGGCAAAGAUAGCUUCGGCCUUCGCAUCGGGACGGGCCCGCGGCCCAUUAGCUUGUUGGUGGGGUAACGGCCUACCAAGGCGACGAUGGGUAGCUGUCUGAGAGGACGAUCAGCCACACUGGGACUGAGACACGGCCCAGACUCCUACGGGAGGCAGCAGUGGGGAAUCUUGCGCAAUGCGCGAAAGCGUGACGCAGCAACGCCGCGUGGGGGAAGACGGCCUUCGGGUUGUAAACCCCUUUCAGUUGGGACGAAGCUUCGCCGGUUAAUAGCCGGCUGGAGUGACGGUACCUUCAGAAGAAGCCCCGGCUAACUACGUGCCAGCAGCCGCGGUAAUACGUAGGGGGCUAGCGUUGUCCGGAAUCAUUGGGCGUAAAGCGCGUGUAGGCGGCCCGGUAAGUCCGCUGUGAAAGUCGGGGGCUCAACCCUCGGAUGCCGGUGGAUACUGUCGGGCUCGAGUACGGAAGAGGCGAGUGGAAUUCCUGGUGUAGCGGUGAAAUGCGCAGAUAUCAGGAGGAACACCAAUUGCGAAGGCAGCUCGCUGGGACGUCACUGACGCUGAGACGCGAAAGCGUGGGGAGCAAACAGGAUUAGAUACCCUAGUAGUCC